This is a long non-coding RNA of Mauremys reevesii (Reeves's turtle), 2577 nucleotides long. RefSeq lists it as uncharacterized. Lineage: Eukaryota; Metazoa; Chordata; Testudines; Geoemydidae. The transcript is spliced from 3 exons. The record is from RefSeq and is a predicted model, not a curated record.
UGCACAGAGAAGGAAGAGAUGCACAAAGGCCACAACUCUCCACUGAACUAACAAGAUCAGACAAUCGCCCAGGCUGCCUAAAUAUUCAGAAUUAGAUUAAACCCAACAUUUUCCUGAAGCCAUAUCUUUUGUAUUUUCUAUUACAGGUUUCACUUGAGUUUCUGGAAAACGUAACUGGCAGGAUCAAUUCAAGCACAACUGGGUCUCGCUGCAAAGAGUUACAACUGGGUCUCCAGCUGAAAAGCCCAAGAUACAGCCUGAGACCUCCUCUAUGCAGUGUUAGCUUGGGGAAUUCAGUGCUAUGAGGAUGGGGAGUAAAAUGGGCAACAUGUAGACAGGGCUCAGGGAGAAUGGACAAUAAUCAAAGUCAGCCUGCUCCUUUUUAUUUAGGCUUGGCAGGGGAGGGACGAAGAGGGAGUAUGAAGUUCAUGGCACCUACUGGCAUGGGAAAGAGUAAGCAAAGUAAAUGCUUCUCAAGGACCCUCUAUGCCAUGCUUUCCGUUCUGCCUUCAAAUGGAGAAAGGAUCUUCAGGAGACCUUCCAACUUGAUGCUUCCUUACAUGCUUAUGCAGGGAAAGGAAGGAACAAGGUUGGACCAGUGUUUAAGAAAGAAGGGACUCCAGUAGCCACUGAAGUCAGUUUGGAAGUGAGGACAUGCAGAAUAGCUGAGGAGAUGCACAGCAAUGUGCAUGAUCAGAUUCAUGGACCAAAAACGGGGAAGAGCUGCCACUGUUUUACACAGAAGGAUUUAUCUGUGGAUACAACAACCAAUCUGAACAGGACAGUUGGAAACAAGGGGAGAUUAGAACUAUUACAACAAAACCAACACAAAAAUAUACAAUCUUACUUUUACACUAAGCAAAUCCAAGCCCACAAAUUCCAAUUUGCUUCUCCAGUUAACAUUGUUUAUUCAGAGUUCUAGGCCCCACACAGAUUUCGAAAGACCAUCUACAAGUUCCAGUGUAUCAAUAGCCACAGGACUCUACAGCCUCACUAAAAUUGUCCUUCUUCAGUCCACCUCAUAUCUACAAACUUCCUCUUCCAUCUGCGCACUCACCUAAUCAACACACCGCUCCAGAAAAAGGCUGGGAGCCCUGCAGCAUGCUUCCUGGUCAACAAACACAAGUUAUUUAAAAUCAAGCUUGGAAAGUAUUCUUGAGGCAAAAGUUCUUAUUGCAAAUGCCCUUAUACCAGCCCCCUCCACUUAAACAGAGAAGCUGAUAGAUCAAGCAGCAAAUGUGAUCACAACUCCUAUGGUACCCCACAAGGAAAAUGGCUGUCUCCUGGGGUAGUCAGGACCCAACAUAGCCCGUUAAACCUCAGCCAGAAACCAGCUGGCAGCCAGCGCAAACUAGGCUACCCAGGUGUAACAUGCUCCCGCUAAGAAGUGCCUGCAUUAGGCAGCUGCUUUCUGUACUAGCUGAAGUUUCCAGGAGUGGCCCACUGUAGAGCACAACUCAGCUUUCUAGUCUGUAAGUGACAAAAACAUGUGUGACUGAGGACAAACAAACAAACACAACAAGCACAGAUUGAUAAAGGUCCUCUGCCCCUGCUGCUACCAGGUCAGGAAGCAGACAAUGAUCCAACACUAUUCCCAGGCAGUGAACCCGUGUAACAACUAUUGAAGCAGUUGACAAUAUCUUUGCUGCUUGUUCUUGUUACUCCCUCUGUCUUUAAGAAUCAUCUCAGCCUUACCAGGAUUGCGUCUGAGCCAAACAGCUCUCAUCCGAGCCCCAUGCUCCGCUACACACUGAAUAAACUGCUGAACUGCACCCUCUAGGCCCAAUAAGAUGGAUACUUCAGUUGCAGCUACAUAGUGGAAGAACUGCUCUGCCCCAACACCUAACUAAAUCCCGUAAUACAGGGGUUCUCAACCUUUAUCUUUCUGAGCCCCCACCUCUACCCUCGCAACAUGUUAUAAAAACUCCACGGCCCAGCUGUGCCACAACAACUGUUUUUCUGCAUCUAAAAGCCAGGGCUGGCGUUAGGGGGUAGCAAGGAGGGAUAUUGCCUGGGACCUCACACCACAGGGGGCACCGCAAAGCUAAGUUGCUCAGGCUUUGGCUUCAGCCCCAGAUGGUGGAGCUCGGGACCUGGGCUGCAGCUUUCUGCCCUGGGCCCCAGCAAGUCUAAUGCCAGCCCUGCUUGGUGGACCCCGAAACCUGCUCACAGCCCCUCAGGGGGCUCUGGCACCUUGGUUGAGAACGACUGCCUUAACAGACCAGUGUCAAAUAUUCCUUUCCGCUUUAUGAGCUUUAUGUUCUGUUACAUAAUCGGAUCACAAAUUCAGGGUUCAGUUUAAGGUUAGAGUUAGAAUUCAGAAUUCUUCCCACCCCCUUUUCAGAAGUGGGCCCAGAAACUUAAUUUUUUUAAAAAUCAGCAAAACUUGCUAUAGAUCUGAUCAACAAGUUGCAUUACCUCUGGUUUCUGUGCAUUUUUAACUUAAGCAGGCUCUUACGAACGAUAAAACUACCAAUUUCAAAUUCUUACAAAUCAGGGUUAUUUUCAGACAGACAGGACUUUUGAUCCAUGGGGAACCCCAAGCCUUGAGGAAGGGUUGGAAAAACUUUAGCCUAC